GCGCCAAUGGUCUAACGGCUAGGAUUCAUCCCUUCCAAGGAUGAGGUGGGGGUUCGAUUCCCUCUUGGCGCA
Molecule: transfer RNA, 72 nt
Organism: Neurospora crassa OR74A
Lineage: Eukaryota; Fungi; Ascomycota; Sordariomycetes; Sordariales; Sordariaceae
Rfam family: tRNA
About the family: Transfer RNA (tRNA) molecules are approximately 80 nucleotides in length. Their secondary structure includes four short double-helical elements and three loops (D, anti-codon, and T loops). Further hydrogen bonds mediate the characteristic L-shaped molecular structure. tRNAs have two regions of fundamental functional importance: the anti-codon, which is responsible for specific mRNA codon recognition, and the 3' end, to which the tRNAs corresponding amino acid is attached (by aminoacyl-tRNA synthetases). tRNAs cope with the degeneracy of the genetic code in two manners: having more than one tRNA (with a specific anti-codon) for a particular amino acid; and 'wobble' base-pairing, i.e. permitting non-standard base-pairing at the 3rd anti-codon position.
Source: Rfam